CAGGUAUCCUUCUUGUCCUUGACAUUGAAGAUUCUGGAAGCCUUUGGUUAUUUCCUCAGUUCCCAGCCUAUCCACCCAUAUCUUUAUCUAAUGUUAUUUAUCAUUCCAGGUCAUUCCUCUUUCUAGAUUCUCUUAGGACAACAUUACCCUGGAUCUUGCAUUUCUUGCAUGCUCUGAUAAGGUUUUCCUCUCUGUUUUAACCCAGCUCAAGUGCCAUCUCUCCAGGAAGCUCCCUCUAAGUUCCUCCAUGAUCAAGGAAUCUAACAAAGUGCCCCCAAUGCUUUACUGCACUUUUCUUGCACCCAUUAUUUUUCACUUUGUAAAAAUACUUUGUAAACAUUUAUAAGAAUGUUUACUGCCAUGCAAAUUGUUUCAUUCCAUUCACAGUCUUAUUAAUCUUUUGGAGACAAUUUACAUACAGAAAAAGUGGAAAACAAGUACAAGUUGGGUUUUGUUCCCGUCUUUAGUGAAAGGUAGCCAAAGCCUUUUAUUAUCCCUGUACAACACCUGUUCUUCCUCCAUUCCCUUCCCUAGGCAGGUCCUCCUCCUCUGCACCAGAAAAGUGUCUUGAACAGGCACCCACAGAGCCCUUCCCACACCACAACUGACUUUUUUGGUAUGGUUCUCCCUUUCUCUUUCUCUCUCUUUGCUAGGACUUGAGUCCUGAAGAACAGAACUGAAUCUUAUUUGUUCAGCCUCCUUUAAUGGAGCCAGAUAAAUAGGAGAAAUUUAGUAUCAUGUUGAAUUUAACUGCAUGUGGGUUUCUGUCCACCAUUUCAGCAGUCACUGAGAUUCCAGCACAAAAUCCUGUGAUGUGAGCUGGAGUAAUCCCACUCUUGUUCUGGGCAGAAAGUAAUGAGAGGUUCAAAAUAAACAAACCAACCAAAACCCGAUUAGGUUCCUCCCACUGGGACCAUCCCAUCAUAAGGAGGUCAGAC
RNAcentral lists this long non-coding RNA (938 nucleotides) under Marmota monax (woodchuck). The record is from RNAcentral. Lineage: Eukaryota; Metazoa; Chordata; Mammalia; Rodentia; Sciuridae.